UGGGGAAUAUUGCGCAAUGGGGGAAACCCUGACGCAGCGACGCCGCGUGCGGGAUGAAGGCCUUCGGGUUGUAAACCGCUUUUGAUUGGGAGCAAGCUUUCGGGUGAGUGUACCUUUCGAAUAAGCGCCGGCUAACUACGUGCCAGCAGCCGCGGUAAUACGUAGGGCGCAAGCGUUAUCCGGAAUUAUUGGGCGUAAAGCGCGCGUAGGCGGUUUUUUAAGUCUGAUGUGAAAGCCCACGGCUCAACCGUGGAGGGUCAUUGGAAACUGGAAAACUUGAGUGCAGAAGAGGAAAGUGGAAUUCCAUGUGUAGCGGUGAAAUGCGCAGAGAUAUGGAGGAACACCAGUGGCGAAGGCGACUUUCUGGUCUGUAACUGACGCUGAUGUGCGAAAGCGUGGGAAUCAAACAGG
Molecule: ribosomal RNA, 411 nt
Filed under: Bacteroidota bacterium
Lineage: Bacteria; Pseudomonadati; Bacteroidota
Description: Bacteroidetes bacterium partial 16S ribosomal RNA
Rfam family: Bacterial small subunit ribosomal RNA
Source: RNAcentral